This is a long non-coding RNA of Melitaea cinxia (Glanville fritillary), 437 nucleotides long. RefSeq lists it as uncharacterized. The record is from RefSeq and is a predicted model, not a curated record. The transcript is spliced from 3 exons. NCBI's taxonomy places the organism in Eukaryota, Metazoa, Arthropoda, Insecta, Lepidoptera, Nymphalidae.
AGUGUUGUGCCGCGACCGUAUUACAGACGAAACAUUCACUACCAGUGGGCUGAAUAUUAUUGUUUAUGAAUUGAUUAAGAUCGUGAUUAUUGUUUUCAUGCCAUUUUAAAUACUACAGAAGAAGGAAAAUUACAAAAAAAUAAUAUUGAUUACACAUUUUACUAUCAAUAUCUAGAUUAUCCAACAUGAAUUCUGAGAAACCUGAGUGUCGAGGGAGUCUGAGGCGAGGCGGGCGACUGGGAGGGCGAAGGCACGCGACUUCGCUCGCGUCGAGGCUGCUUGAACCACUCAGGAUAUAUAGCACUCAAAGUCUCUACCAAAUCGUGGUCCAAUGUCACGCGCCAAGACGCGCGGCCCUCAGAGCCCUCCGACCCUCCGCUUCCACCGCACGACGAACGGCUUUCUAAAAUAAUUUAAUACAUUUUAUUUUCUACAUA